UCCCUCUUAGCUCAGUGGUAGAGCGCUUCACUCGUAUUUGCCAGGGUCAGAAUUGAUGAAGAGGUCAGUCGUUCAAGUCGGCUAGAGGGAA
Non-coding RNA from Marasmius sp. AFHP31, 91 nucleotides. Lineage: Eukaryota; Fungi; Basidiomycota; Agaricomycetes; Agaricales; Marasmiaceae. The record is from the annotation of a GenBank genome assembly.